This 74-nucleotide transfer RNA is filed under the name Phrynosoma platyrhinos (Desert horned lizard). Its description in RNAcentral is "tRNA-OTHER". The stretch from base 11 to 74 matches the Rfam family "tRNA". Rfam says of the family: Transfer RNA (tRNA) molecules are approximately 80 nucleotides in length. Their secondary structure includes four short double-helical elements and three loops (D, anti-codon, and T loops). Further hydrogen bonds mediate the characteristic L-shaped molecular structure. tRNAs have two regions of fundamental functional importance: the anti-codon, which is responsible for specific mRNA codon recognition, and the 3' end, to which the tRNAs corresponding amino acid is attached (by aminoacyl-tRNA synthetases). tRNAs cope with the degeneracy of the genetic code in two manners: having more than one tRNA (with a specific anti-codon) for a particular amino acid; and 'wobble' base-pairing, i.e. permitting non-standard base-pairing at the 3rd anti-codon position. The record is from RNAcentral. Lineage: Eukaryota; Metazoa; Chordata; Lepidosauria; Squamata; Phrynosomatidae.
GACAUAGCAUGGUAUAGUGGUUUGAGCAUUAGACUAGGAUUCUGGAGACCAGGGUUCAAGUCCCUGCUCAGCCA